AGCGAACGCUGGCGGCAGGCCUAACACAUGCAAGUCGAGCGCCGUAGCAAUACGGAGCGGCAGACGGGAGGGUAACACGUGGGAACGUACCCUUUGGUUCGGAACAACCCAGGGAAACUUGGGCUAACACCGGAUAAGCCCUCACGGGGAAAGAUUAAUCGCCGGAGGAUCGGCCCGCGUCUGAUUAGCUAGUUGGUGGGGUAAUGGCCCACCAAGGCGACGAUCAGUAGCUGGUCUGAGAGGAUGAUCAGCCUCACUGGGACUGAGACACGGGCCAGACUCCUACGGGAGGCAGCAGUGGGGAAUAUUGGACAAUGGGCGCAAGCCUGAUCCAGCCAUGCCGCGUGGGUGAUGAAGGCCCUAGGGUUGUAAAGCCCUUUCGGCGGGGAAGAUAAUGACGGUACCCGCAGAAGAAGCCCCGGCUAACUUCGUGCCAGCCGCCGCAGUAA
RNAcentral lists this ribosomal RNA (449 nucleotides) under uncultured bacterium. RNAcentral describes it as "partial 16S ribosomal RNA". It matches the Rfam family "Bacterial small subunit ribosomal RNA", at positions 29 to 523 of the family's 1533-position model. The record is from RNAcentral.